UCCAGGAACACAGGCGGCCAGGGAGGUGGAGCCCACACCUCAACACACAACUACCCGUGAAGAACGUGGAGCGAUCCGUGUAGAUCCUUGUAGAAGGUUCUCUCAGAGGGCCAUGUCACUGACCUGUCAGUCAGCCCACAGCCUCCUCCCAGUCCCCAGAUAGCUGACCACUCCCUCCUUGAAAUUCUCUCCUCUCUCAGCUUGUGCAACACCAACCUCCGGUGGCAGGAAAAACUAUUAUUAUUCUCUUGUGAAAAUUAAAACUUAACCAUCAACAUAGAGCUGUUACUGGUUUGAAGGAAGCCAUUGACGCUGUGUCAAAGGCUAGAGCAGAAAACAGUGGCAUGCAGUGUCAAAGGUCAAAGUCAACACUUCUCGGACUGGCACAGGGAAGGUCUUUUGCUCCACGUGAUAUUGACUAUGAUCAUCUGGAGGGUCCGUGGUUCCAGUGACUUAGCAUCAAAGACGGCCUAACACACACGUCUGGUGCCUCUGCUGGGAUGGCUGAAGCAGCCGGAGGCUGGCCAGCUACUCAGGAGGCGGAGGCAAAGGAUCGCUUGAACCCAG
This 567-nucleotide long non-coding RNA is filed under the name Homo sapiens (human). RNAcentral's name for it is "HSALNT0291189". Lineage: Eukaryota; Metazoa; Chordata; Mammalia; Primates; Hominidae. The record is from RNAcentral.